RNAcentral lists this long non-coding RNA (214 nucleotides) under Lathyrus oleraceus (garden pea). RNAcentral describes it as "Pisum sativum (pea) long non-coding RNA (PSAT_LNC014773)". The record is from RNAcentral. Lineage: Eukaryota; Viridiplantae; Streptophyta; Magnoliopsida; Fabales; Fabaceae.
GAUUUGAGAUUUAUUUGAGAUUUUAGUUCAUUUAGGUUAUUUUUUUUAAUUGUUUAAAAAUAGUUUCUGGUUUCUAAAAAUACUGAAUUUUUUUGUCAAACCUUGUUUGACCUUGUUGAACUUAGGAUGAUCCAUUUGGACUUUUCAAAGUUGAUUUGAAAUGGAUUUAAAGUUUGACCUUCAUUUGUUUAUUUUAAUUCAAGUAUUAUUUUAA